Molecule: transfer RNA, 73 nt
Filed under: Candidatus Tremblaya phenacola PAVE
Lineage: Bacteria; Pseudomonadati; Pseudomonadota; Betaproteobacteria
Description: tRNA-Phe (GAA) (tRNA-Phe-GAA-1-1)
Rfam family: tRNA
About the family: Transfer RNA (tRNA) molecules are approximately 80 nucleotides in length. Their secondary structure includes four short double-helical elements and three loops (D, anti-codon, and T loops).
Source: RNAcentral
GACUGAGUAGCUCAGCUGGUAGAGCAUCGGCCUGAAGAGCCGUUGGUCAGUGGUUCGAAUCCACUCUUAGUCA